This 497-nucleotide ribosomal RNA is filed under the name uncultured bacterium. RNAcentral describes it as "partial 16S ribosomal RNA". It matches the Rfam family "Bacterial small subunit ribosomal RNA", at positions 28 to 507 of the family's 1533-position model. The record is from RNAcentral.
GAUGAACGCUGGCGGCGUGCCUAAUACAUGCAAGUCGAGCGAACGGACGAGAAGCUUGCUUCUCUGAUGUUAGCGGCGGACGGGUGAGUAACACGUGGAUAACCUACCUAUAAGACUGGGAUAACUUCGGGAAACCGGAGCUAAUACCGGAUAAUAUUUUGAACCGCAUGGUUCAAAAGUGAAAGACGGUCUUGCGGUCACUUAUAGAUGGAUCCGCGCUGCAUUAGCUAGUUGGUAAGGUAACGGCUUACCAAGGCAACGAUGCAUAGCCGACCUGAGAGGGUGGUCGGCCACACUGGAUCUGAGACACGGUCCCGACUCCUACGGUAGGCAGCAGUAGGGAAUCUUCCGCGAUGCGCCAGUGCCUGACGUAGCGACGUCGCGUGAGUGAUGAAGGUCUUCGGAUCGUUGAACUCUGUUAGUAGUGAAGAACAUAUGCGUAAGUAUCUAUGCACAUCUUGACGGUACCUGAUCAGAAAGCCCCGGCUAACUACGUG